UGGGGGAUAUAGCACAAUGGGCGAAAGCCUGAUGCAGCGACGCCGCGUGGGGGAUGAAGGCCUUCGGGUUGUAAACUUCUUUUGCUCUGAACAAGGCAUGCUAAUGGGUGUGUUGAGUGUAGGGGUUGAUUAGCGCCGGCUAACUACGUGCCAGCAGCCGCGGUAAUACGUAGGGCGCGAGCGUUGUCCGGAAUUAUUGGGCGUAAAGGGCUUGUAGGUGGCUGGUUGCGUCUGUCGUGAAAGCUCAUGGCUUAACUGUGGGUUUGCGGUGGGUACGGGCUGGCUUGAGUGCAGUAGGGGAGGCUGGAAUUCCUGGUGUAGCGGUGGAAUGCGCAGAUAUCAGGAGGAAUACCGGUGGCGAAGGCGGGUCUCUGGGCUGUUACUGACACUGAGGAGCGAAAGCAUGGGGAGCGAACAGG
This 419-nucleotide ribosomal RNA is filed under the name bacterium. RNAcentral describes it as "partial 16S ribosomal RNA". It matches the Rfam family "Bacterial small subunit ribosomal RNA", at positions 355 to 776 of the family's 1533-position model. The record is from RNAcentral.